AGAACGAACGCUGGCGGCAUGCCUAAUACAUGCAAGUCGAACGAAGGCUUCGGCCUUAGUGGCGCACGGGUGCGUAACGCGUGGGAAUCUGCCCCUUGGUUCGGAAUAACAGUUGGAAACGACUGCUAAUACCGGAUGAUGACGAAAGUCCAAAGAUUUAUCGCCAAGGGAUGAGCCCGCGUAGGAUUAGCUAGUUGGUGAGGUAAAGGCUCACCAAGGCAACGAUCCUUAGCUGGUCUGAGAGGAUGAUCAGCCACACUGGGACUGAGACACGGCCCAGACUCCUACGGGAGGCAGCAGUAGGGAAUAUUGGACAAUGGGCGAAAGCCUGAUCCAGCAAUGCCGCGUGAGUGAUGAAGGCCUUAGGUUGUAAAGCCUUUUACCGAGAUGAUAAUGACAGUAUCGGAAGAAUAAGCCCCGGACUAACCUCCGCGCCAGCAGCCGC
Molecule: ribosomal RNA, 445 nt
Filed under: uncultured soil bacterium
Lineage: Bacteria
Description: bacterial SSU rRNA
Rfam family: Bacterial small subunit ribosomal RNA
Source: RNAcentral